UUCUUGCUCCUGCUUGUGCCAUGCAAAGUGCCUGCUCCUGCUUCACCUUUUGCCAUGAAUGAAAGUUCCCUGAGGCCUACCCAGAAGCAGAUGCUGUUAUGCUUCCUGUACAGCCUGCAGAACCAUGAGCCAAAUAAACCUCUUUUCUUAUAAAUCAUCCAGUCUCAGAUAUUUCUUUAUAGUAAUGCAAGAACAAUAUAACACAGACACUGAAAAUGAAGUGGCAUAGAGAGAAAACACAGGAGGCUGUCCAAUGCAUUUUGUGCUAGGAUUGAGUCACUGUUGUGUAUAAAUCUUUUCAGCAUCAGUCUACAAAGGAAUGAAUAAGUAAAUGAAUGUCUGAAUGAACAAAUCAGUGAAUGAUCAAAGAAUCAAUGGACUGAAAGAUGAAUCAACAAUGAGAAUAGUAAAAUGACAAUGUACCAUCAUCAGUUCACAGGUAUAAUGAGUGUCUGCCUGUGUGUGCAUGAAAGAGGAAGAGCCAAAGGAUUGAUGGGUGUAAUAGGGAUACAGAGUGUUACUCUGGCUCUUAGAGAGGAAUUAGUGACAAACUAAGGAGGAGUCACAAGCCCCAAAGUGCCUCAGAAGCCCUCAUUCCUAGAAUGGCAACAGACUUGUGUAGCAGCUGCACCCUCACAGCUGACAGCUGUCAUGUUUAACUCUCCCCUUCCCCGUCCAACCACAGGGUAUGGAGUACGAAGGUCCCAAGUCAAAGGAUGUUUCACUCAACCAGCCUUUCUCUGAGAAGCCUCAAUGUUUACUCUCUGACACUACAAAAGGGUCACUUACAGAGUAUAUAACUAAUGUAUUAAUGCAGAUGAAAUCCUGUGCCUCUGAAAGACUAGGGACCCAGAAUUAGCUAAAAUAAUACUUCAUAUGCACUGUAUGGUGGAGUUGCAAAACUGUGGCUAUAUAGAAUUAGGUGACCUCCAGCUUGAUUUCAUCUAGCCAGUAGAUACAGUCUGGCUCUGUGUCUCCACCCAGAUCUCACUUUGAAUUGUAAUAAUCCCGACGUGUCAAGGGUGGGACGAGGUGGAGGUAAUUAGAUCAUGGGGAUGGUUUCCCCCACGCUGUUCUCGUGGUAGUGAGUGACUCUUACAAGAUUUGAUGGUUUUAUAAGCAUCUGGCAUUUCCCCUGCUUGCACUCAUUCUCUCUCCUCUCGCCCUGUGAAGAGAUGCCUUCCACCAUGAUUGUAAGUUUACUGAGGCUUCCCCAGCCAUGUGGAACUGUGAGUCAAUUCAACCUCUUUUCUUUAUAAGUUACCCAGUCUUGGGUAGUUCUUCAUAGCAGCAUCACAAGGGACUAAUCCACCAAUCUAUGGGAGGAAAAUGUUUCCCAAUGCCCUGUUGUGACUGACCUCUUCUGAGUGAAUAUCAAGUUCUCAAGUGAUGGAGGGAAGCAAAUACCAGGAUCACAUAGGGAGCUUUGUAGAAUCUCAUGCUCUAGGCAUUCCAGUGCUAGAGUGGCUGGCAUAAAAUUAUAAAUUAAUCGGUAAAAAUAAUUGUUUUCUACAAAGAGCAAAACACCAAUUUUAGGACAUUGGUCACACAAUCUGAUUGAAAGGAAAAAAAAAAAAAAAA
RNAcentral lists this long non-coding RNA (1581 nucleotides) under Macaca fascicularis (crab-eating macaque). RNAcentral describes it as "lncRNA (ENSMFAG00000057908.1)". Lineage: Eukaryota; Metazoa; Chordata; Mammalia; Primates; Cercopithecidae. The record is from RNAcentral.